This 253-nucleotide ribosomal RNA is filed under the name uncultured bacterium. Its description in RNAcentral is "partial 16S ribosomal RNA". It matches the Rfam family "Bacterial small subunit ribosomal RNA", at positions 524 to 776 of the family's 1533-position model. The record is from RNAcentral.
GACGAAGGGGGCUAGCGUUAAUCGGAAUUACUGGGCGUAAAGCGUGCGCAGGCGGUUGUGCAAGACCGAUGUGAAAUCCCCGGGCUUAACCUGGGAAUGGCAUUGGUGACUGCACGGCUAGAGUGUGUCAGAGGGGGGUAGAAUUCCACGUGUAGCAGUGAAAUGCGUAGAGAUGUGGAGGAAUACCGAUGGCGAAGGCAGCCCCCUGGGAUAACACUGACGCUCAUGCACGAAAGCGUGGGGAGCAAACAGG